RNAcentral lists this ribosomal RNA (408 nucleotides) under uncultured bacterium. Its description in RNAcentral is "partial 16S ribosomal RNA". It matches the Rfam family "Bacterial small subunit ribosomal RNA", at positions 28 to 526 of the family's 1533-position model. The record is from RNAcentral.
GACGAACGCUGGCGGCGUGCCUAAUACAUGCACGUCGAGCGAAGCUGCUGAUGGGUGAGUAACGCGUGGGUAACCUGCCCUUAAGUCUGGGAUACCAUUUGGAAACAGAUGCUAAUACCGGCUACUAAAGGAUGGACCUGCGAUGCAUUAGCUCGUUGGUACGGUAACGGCUUACCAAGGCGAUGAUGCAUAGCCGAGUUGAGAGACUGUUCGGCGACAGUGGGACGGAGACACGGCCCAAACGCCUAAGGGAGGCAGCAGUAGGGAAUCUUCCACAAUGGACGAAAGUCUGAUGGCGCAACGCCGCGUGAGUGAAGAAGGUUUUCGGAUCGUAAAGCUCUGUUGUUGGUGAAGCGGUAAUCAACCAGAAAGUAACGGCUAACUACGUGCCAGCCGCCGCGGUAAUAC